UUAUUUUCCAAUUUACUUCUAUUUUUUUUUUAAUUUUUUUUUGAGAAAUUUCUUUUUUCUUAGUAAAUAGAUGAGAAUUGAUUAUUUUAGUAAUAGCUUAUUAGUACUGUGAGGGGGCGUUGAAAUAUGGUUGAAAUUAAUUAUUUAUAAAGUAUAUUUUGUUAAUAGUACCUUUUGUAUCAGGGUUAAUUAAUUUUAUUUAAUUUAUUUUAUUUUCUCGAUAUUAUAAGAGCUAAUAAUUUAAUUUGUUUAUUGUGGUAAAAAUAUCAAUAAUAAUUAUUUGUAAAGAAAUUUUAUUCGUUUAUAAAUAUAUCUAGUUUUUUAAGAAAUAAAUUAAAUUUAGUUCUGUUUUAUUAUUUUGUUUUCUUAUUUAAAUUUAUAAAGGGCAGAUUAAAAAUGAUAGGGGAUAAGCUCUAUUUUUUUCUAAAAUAUAAUUUCAUUUAAUUUUUGUAGGUUUAGAAUCAUCCAUCAUUUGAAUUACGUUAUAGUUUAUAUUAUUUUGUUUUUGAUUUAUUUUUAUUUAGUAUAGAUAUUAAAAUAUUUAAGUUAACUUAAACUUUAAAGUAAUUAUGAUUAAAUUAGUAUAUUAUUAUUGUUAGUUGAGUAAUAAAAGUUAAUUCAUAAUAAGGAAUUCGGCAAAUACAAUGUUCGCCUGUUUAACAAAAACAUGUCUUCUCGUUUAUUUGGGAAGUCUGACCUGCCCAGUGAAAUAAUUAUUUAACGGCCGCGGUAUCUUGACCGUGCAAAGGUAGCAUAAUCAUUAGUCUUUUAAUAGAAGACUGGAAUGAAGGGUUUGACGAAAUAUUAACUGUCUCAUUUUGAUAUUUUAAAAUUUAAUUUUUGGGUUAAAAAGCUUAAAUUUUAUUGGAAGACGAGAAGACCCUAUAGAGCUUUAUAAUUAAAAUUAUAGUUGAAACUUGUUUAAUAAGGUAAAACUAUUAUGUUAAUUUUUUUGUUGGGGUGAUAGUAAAUAUAUAUUUAACUUUUAUAUAAUUAAAAUUGUUCAUUUAUUUAUGAUUAUUAGAUCCAUUAUUAUUGA
RNAcentral lists this ribosomal RNA (1039 nucleotides) under Rhipidolestes yakusimensis. RNAcentral's name for it is "partial large subunit ribosomal RNA". The stretch from base 644 to 806 matches the Rfam family "Bacterial large subunit ribosomal RNA", at positions 1791 to 2013 of the family's 2925-position model. Lineage: Eukaryota; Metazoa; Arthropoda; Insecta; Odonata; Megapodagrionidae. The record is from RNAcentral.